Molecule: ribosomal RNA, 343 nt
Filed under: Aquilonastra batheri
Lineage: Eukaryota; Metazoa; Echinodermata; Asteroidea; Valvatida; Asterinidae
Description: partial 12S ribosomal RNA
Rfam family: Bacterial small subunit ribosomal RNA
Source: RNAcentral
CACACCACCAGAGAACUACGAACUAAAGUUUAAAACUCAAAGGACUUGGCGGUAUUUUAGACCUCCCUGGAGGGGCUUGCCACCUAACCGAUAACCCACGAAAAACCUCACCAGCCUUAGAACCUAACCCAACCUGUAUACCAUCGUCGUCAGUCUACCCCUCAAGGAAAGUAUACAAAAAGAGCUCUCCUGACUACGUCAGAUCGAGGUGCAGUUAAUGAGCUGGGGGUGAGUGAGCUACAACAUCAUAACAAAUUAAACACAAUUAUGAACAGCCUAAUGAAAAAACAGAACUCGAAAUCGGAUUCAGCAGUAAUGUUUAACAGAAAAUAAACAUGAAGAA